AUGACCCAUCAAUCAUGAAUUUAUUCAUGCUUGGCAUUGGGCAAGGAUAGAGCUUGGCUCAUUCCUGUCUGAAAUUCAAUGGCGAAGUCAUAUGUUCCAUUCAGUGUAGUAAUCAACGUUAUGUUUCACUGCUGGACAUGAUCGGCUUCUGUCACAAAUUGUUUCCCCCAUUCUAAAC
RNAcentral lists this unclassified non-coding RNA (178 nucleotides) under uncultured Pulvinula. RNAcentral describes it as "partial internal transcribed spacer 2". Lineage: Eukaryota; Fungi; Ascomycota; Pezizomycetes; Pezizales; Pyronemataceae. The record is from RNAcentral.